UAAAAGCGGGAAGCUCAGU
Molecule: transfer RNA, 19 nt
Filed under: Moraea albiflora
Lineage: Eukaryota; Viridiplantae; Streptophyta; Magnoliopsida; Asparagales; Iridaceae
Description: partial tRNA-Phe
Source: RNAcentral